RNAcentral lists this non-coding RNA (140 nucleotides) under uncultured Aquabacterium sp. RNAcentral's name for it is "Glycine riboswitch". It matches the Rfam family "Glycine riboswitch aptamer", at positions 7 to 90 of the family's 94-position model. From Rfam's summary of the family: This family represents the bacterial glycine riboswitch. The record is from RNAcentral. Lineage: Bacteria; Pseudomonadati; Pseudomonadota; Betaproteobacteria; Burkholderiales; Sphaerotilaceae.
CUCACUGGAGAGAGGCUGGAGACGGCGCACCGCCACACGCGAGCGCACCGUGAGCCAGCCCACCGAAGGGGCAAGCCCGAACCGCCGCGACAACGGUCGCCGCGAUGGGUCAAUCUCUCAGGUAAAGCGGACAGCGGGGG